RNAcentral lists this transfer RNA (76 nucleotides) under Chloroflexaceae bacterium. Its description in RNAcentral is "tRNA-Thr". It matches the Rfam family "tRNA". From Rfam's summary of the family: Transfer RNA (tRNA) molecules are approximately 80 nucleotides in length. The record is from RNAcentral. Lineage: Bacteria; Bacillati; Chloroflexota; Chloroflexia; Chloroflexales; Chloroflexaceae.
GCCGAUGUAGCUCAAUUGGCAGAGCAACGGUUUUGUAAACCGUUGGUUCAGGGUUCGAGUCCCUGCAUCGGCUCCA